Molecule: long non-coding RNA, 805 nt
Organism: Zea mays
Lineage: Eukaryota; Viridiplantae; Streptophyta; Magnoliopsida; Poales; Poaceae
Exons: 2
Source: RefSeq, a predicted model, not a curated record
AAACAUCAAAAGCCCUAUGCGAAAAUUCGGUAAACCCGAACUCCCAGCCUGACUCGGAGGGAGUCGAGCAGAAGCAGAGUUUGCAGUCUGAGAAGACCCCUGUGCUGUCCAGCCAACUUUUCCACCUCAGUCUUGGAUGCCGCCCGUCCGCCGUCUAGAUCUCCCCAACUCCUCCGUCCCCUUGCUUCCUGUCGUCGACCUCGGUGGCCGCCGCGAGCUGCGGGUGGUUCAUCGCCGUCGACCUCGCCUCUCCGCUCCUUCUGCACUGCCUGUUACCGGCUUCCUGUUGCUCUACCGGUGCGGCGCGGGUCGUCAGUGAAGCUCCGACUAUCCGGAUUGACUCGGAUCGACCUCUGCUCUCGUGGGGUCUUCAGCGCCUCAAGCAUGGUUGCGGCCAUGCCAUUUUGGAGUCCGUCUGGCGAUAUUAGCUGGCAAGGUUUAGGGAGGGUUUUGUGCUGUGCUGUGGAAAGUUUGAUGAGCGGCUGCGUGGACAUGUGACAAGUACUUGGAAAUAGACAGUGAAGAGAAUUUAGCUUAAAAUUGGUACAGGCCAUGAACCAGGGAGCAUAAGGGAAAAAAGGGAGAUAAGGCAGACAGAGCUUGUAUUUCGUAUUAUCCCUAAUAACUUAAGUUCAUUUAUGGUAGAAACUGGCAAGUUCCAGGUAAAAAGUCAAGUGUCCUGCUUUAUUUUGUAACCUAGAACGACUUGUAGAAUCUCCUACUUGUUAACUAGAGCAUUGGUUUGAUUAAAAUGUGUAGUUGUUUUACAUUUUUGGGUAACAAGUAUAUAUAUAGUUUUUCGCCA